GAUGAACGCUGGCGGCGUGCUUAAUACAUGCAAGUCGAGCGAACAGAUGCGGAGCUUGCUCCUCUGACGUUAGCGGCGGACGGGUGAGUAACACGUGGAUAACCUACCUAUAAGACUGGGAUAACUUCGGGAAACCGGAGCUAAUCCCGGAUAAUAUCUUGAACCGCAUGGUUCAAUAGUGAAAGACGGUUUUGCUGUCACUUAUCGAUGGAUCCGCGCCGCAUUAGCUAGUUGGUAAGGUAACGGCUUACCAAGGCAACGAUGCGUAGCCGACCUGAGAGGGUGAUCGGCCACACUGGAACUGAGACACGGUCCAGACUCCUACGGGAGGCAGCAGUAGGGAAUCUUCCGCAAUGGGCGAAAGCCUGACGGAGCAACGCCGCGUGAGUGAUGAAGGUCUUCGGAUCGUAAAACUCUGUUAUUAGGGAAGAACAAAUGUGUAAGUAACUAUGCACGUCUUGACGGUACCUAAUCAGAAAGCCACGGCUAACUACGUG
This 497-nucleotide ribosomal RNA is filed under the name uncultured bacterium. RNAcentral describes it as "partial 16S ribosomal RNA". It matches the Rfam family "Bacterial small subunit ribosomal RNA", at positions 28 to 507 of the family's 1533-position model. The record is from RNAcentral.